CGUGUAGGCGGCCAAACAGGUCCGUUGUGAAAACUGGAGGCUCAACCUCCAGACGUCGACGGAAACCGUGUGGCUAGAGUCCGGAAGAGGAGAGUGGAAUUCCUGGUGUAGCGGUGAAAUGCGCAGAUAUCAGGAAGAACACCAAUGGCGAAGGCAGCUCUCUGGGACGGUACUGACGCUGAGACGCGAAAGCGUGGGGAGCGAACAGGAUUAGAUACCCUGGUAGUCCACGCCGUAAACGAUGGGUGCUAGGUGUGGGAGGUGUCGACUCCUUCCGUGCCGUAGCUAACGCAUUAAGCACCCCGCCUGGGGAGUACGGCCGCAAGGCUAAA
This 332-nucleotide ribosomal RNA is filed under the name uncultured bacterium. RNAcentral's name for it is "bacterial SSU rRNA". It matches the Rfam family "Bacterial small subunit ribosomal RNA", at positions 568 to 898 of the family's 1533-position model. The record is from RNAcentral.